Erinaceus europaeus (western European hedgehog) is the source of this 196-nucleotide non-coding RNA. Lineage: Eukaryota; Metazoa; Chordata; Mammalia; Eulipotyphla; Erinaceidae. The record is from Rfam.
AAAAAAAAAUUGUUGAUUAGAGGAGUUCCUCUGAAUGUGUAGGGCACCCAAAUCCAUGAGGAGAAGGUAUAUAGCAUUCUCUUCUGAUCGUGAAGUUGACUCUAGGUGUUGCUACUUGCAACUGCCUCUUGCCAUUGAUGACCGUUCUGCUCUCCCCCUAUGGAGGGCUAGAGGGAGAGGAUGCCUUCUGAGUGGA